RNAcentral lists this long non-coding RNA (348 nucleotides) under Sarcophilus harrisii (Tasmanian devil). RNAcentral describes it as "lncRNA (ENSSHAG00000025349.1)". Lineage: Eukaryota; Metazoa; Chordata; Mammalia; Dasyuromorphia; Dasyuridae. The record is from RNAcentral.
GGAAAAAGGAUUUCAAAUUGAAGAUUUUUCAUGGAAGAUAGACAAAGACUAAAGAUGAUAGCUGAUGGAUGUGGAACACUGUAUAAAAUGUCAGAUUUUUUUUCAAGUUUCCAUGGAUGGUUCUCAACUGCCUAGAAGUUGAAAACUGGAGAGAAAAAGGCACAAUUUGCUCUUUCUUAUAUUGGCUCCAAGAACAGCUGUCAUAAAGUCCUACACCUGUUCCAAGUGAUCUCAAAAUCUAUGCCAUCACAUAGCAGCUAACCAUCAGACCCUGCUGACUCAAAGAGUUGAAGAACUGAAGAUGAGGAGAGUGAAGCAAACAGAGUUAAGGGACUCAUCCAGCAUCAC